RNAcentral lists this ribosomal RNA (641 nucleotides) under Pseudomonas aeruginosa. RNAcentral describes it as "bacterial SSU rRNA". It matches the Rfam family "Bacterial small subunit ribosomal RNA", at positions 74 to 711 of the family's 1533-position model. The record is from RNAcentral. Lineage: Bacteria; Pseudomonadati; Pseudomonadota; Gammaproteobacteria; Pseudomonadales; Pseudomonadaceae.
GGGAGCUUGCUCCUGGAUUCAGCGGCGGACGGGUGAGUAAUGCCUAGGAAUCUGCCUGGUAGUGGGGGAUAACGUCCGGAAACGGGCGCUAAUACCGCAUACGUCCUGAGGGAGAAAGUGGGGGAUCUUCGGACCUCACGCUAUCAGAUGAGCCUAGGUCGGAUUAGCUAGUUGGUGGGGUAAAGGCCUACCAAGGCGACGAUCCGUAACUGGUCUGAGAGGAUGAUCAGUCACACUGGAACUGAGACACGGUCCAGACUCCUACGGGAGGCAGCAGUGGGGAAUAUUGGACAAUGGGCGAAAGCCUGAUCCAGCCAUGCCGCGUGUGUGAAGAAGGUCUUCGGAUUGUAAAGCACUUUAAGUUGGGAGGAAGGGCAGUAAGUUAAUACCUUGCUGUUUUGACGUUACCAACAGAAUAAGCACCGGCUAACUUCGUGCCAGCAGCCGCGGUAAUACGAAGGGUGCAAGCGUUAAUCGGAAUUACUGGGCGUAAAGCGCGCGUAGGUGGUUCAGCAAGUUGGAUGUGAAAUCCCCGGGCUCAACCUGGGAACUGCAUCCAAAACUACUGAGCUAGAGUACGGUAGAGGGUGGUGGAAUUUCCUGUGUAGCGGUGAAAUGCGUAGAUAUAGGAAGGAACACCA